Molecule: non-coding RNA, 4598 nt
Organism: Zonotrichia albicollis (white-throated sparrow)
Lineage: Eukaryota; Metazoa; Chordata; Aves; Passeriformes; Passerellidae
Source: RefSeq, a predicted model, not a curated record
AUACAAUGUCUUCCCACCUAGUGGGUGGGUGCUGGCCUGAGGUUCAGCUAACUGAACAAGAUACACAAAGCAAAACUUCCAGACAUGGGAAAUUGCUGGCUAUGCUGGAUAUCUGUGAGAAGCUGAGUGCCAUGAGCACUGGCUGGACUUCACAGUUUGCUAAAGAGAAGGUAUAUGAGACAGCCGGACUUGACAAAUGACUGAAGGGCAGCAGAAUCUUCAAAGGCUGAGCAAUUCCUGGAAAACUGGCAUAGUGAUACAUUGCAGAGCCAAGAUUAUCCAGACAGAAGCCUGUUCCUGGUCACUGCAACUUGUUCAAACUAGUUGUGAAAUUCAAUGAUAUCUGGACUCCAUCAUCUCACUGGUGGGUUUCUAGUGGAGUUCUGUGGAAAUCGGCUCUUGUCCUGUGCUGUUUAAUAUUUUCUUUCAUCUGUAUCCUGAAAGAAAAUAAUUUAAAAUCUUAGUUUCUGCAGGUCUGGAUGUCUCGCCCUCUCUUGUGAGAGAAUUUUUCAACUUCAAUAAAAUCCUGGGACAGGAUGUGUAACAAAGGAUUGCCUCUUUCCUGACUAAAAGUGGAGGGGUUUGUGGAAAGCAGCCUGAUAAAAAGAAGUGAUGAGGUGAGUCUCUAUGCUAAUGUAAAUUUUACCUCUCCUUUGUAUGCAUGACUAGAAUAAGUAAAAAGAAGCAAAUGGAUUUAUGGCUUAAAUUUGUAAAUUUUUUACUUGUUUUAUAUUCAGGACAGUAAUGUAAAUUACAUGAUUUGUUCAGUGUGGUUAUAAGAAUAAGUACAUUUUUUGUAAAAGGCCGAUUAAACUAAAUAGCUUCAUUUGCCCUCAGCAAUGGCUAUAAUGAACAAUAAUAGAGUAGGCUGAGUUUGCUGUAUGUGGCUUUGGAUGGGUUUUUGUAGGCUUUUUUAAAAAUUUUUAUUUCCCUUUGUGACAAAUGGCUUUGCUUGAAUAGCUUGCCUUGUUUGGUGUGAUUGGUGUCCAGACUGAGUACAUUAGGAAGCGAUGAUACUUAUCUGUGUGGUUCACAUGCUAAUUAAAUUGACUUUACCAAAGCAUACAAAUGUCUCCCAUUAUUUUCUUUUCUCUCACCUUGUGUCAAUACAUUUCUGUAAUAAAUCAGAAAAUCUUUAUUCAGCAGGCAGAUAGUAUUUGAGAAGUGCAAAAGAUGUAUUCAUUUCGACAAUUUUUACUUUUUUCAGAGACUAGCUUGCAAAGGCAGAAAAGUAUCAGGAAAGAAAAUCUUUCCUAUGCCGAUUUCUUUGGUUUGUACAUCAUGAAAAGAAAAGAUAAACUGAUGGGCUGCUUAUUCAUAAAUUGAAAAGGUAGAUUUAUAUGACAGCUUAAAUGAGGUCUGGCAAAAUCCACUUUUAAGCUUGGGUUUUUAUAUUGUGAGAGCUGUUUAACUAAUCAAACAAAGGUGGUGUUUCAUGAAUAAUUCAUGGUGCAGUGCCUGUGAAGGAGCAGGCUGUAAAUACCUGCAGCAGAACUCCAGUGACACCAUAAUUAGCACCUGGCUUUGGCUGGCUGAUGAUGUCACCUUGCUCUGACGUGUAAUUAUAACAUGACCUGUUGAUGAAAUUGUUGGUGUGUAAUAUUUCCCCUCUCCAGUGGCAUGCACUCUUUUACACAAACAAAGGAGAGGGGGUGGCCCUCCCAUCCAUUAAUCCCAGCUCAGUAACCCCUGCCUGCACCCUGCUUUACCUCUUAACACCCCUUGUCAUCCUACAUCCUCCUUUUCUUCUUUUAUUCACCGUGAUCUUCCCUCCAACAUCCUGCUAACACCAUCAAGGGAGAUGUCAUUUUUGCUGUUCCCACAAAUUUUGAGUAUUGGACCUGCAAGUAACAUGUCUAAUUAAUCAGCCUGAAAUGCCCCCAGUCAGAAUUUCUUUGGGUACAAAGCAAAAGUUACCCGUCAAAAUUUUGUUGACACCAUUUUUGUUGUUGUUUUUUUAAUGAACACAUUGCUAACUUUACUUGUAACUGAUAUGGAAAAGCACAAUAUUAUCUCUUUAACUUUACCAGACUUACGGUAAUUUGUGAACCAGUAAUUUCCUUUCUCUGAAUCUCAGAGGUGUUUACACAACAGUGAAUUGCUCAUUUGUGCAGAAUGAAUUUUAUUCAAGGCAGUGUCCUGGUUGUUAUCUCCUCAAUGAUGUCUUCCACAGGUGUUUGGAUUUGUAUUGCUGCUGGUUAGUCUGUGAUGUGUGUUCAUUUAGGGAUGUAAAUAUUGACCAGGACUCUGCAUUGUAAUCACACAGCUCUCUGGGACUGAACUCACAGUCUCUGCUCCCAAAGUGACAAAGCUAUCCACAGAGCCAGAAUAACACAUGGGCAAAUGACAUUUCAUAAAGCAGCUGGAGUGAUAUUUCUUUACUUGGAACCUCUUGUUUUUUAUGACUGAGACUCAGGUGUGAAUUUAUGUUUGGAAAGGAAUGUUGGUGGCAAAGAGAAAAAUGAAACUUUUUCCUUUGUCAGACAGUCUUAUAGAGAUAAGUAUUUCCAAUAAUUACAAGCCAGGGAGACACAUUAUAGCAGCUCCUUGUUUAAAGGUUUAGGAAUAGUCAGAGGCUUGCUUUCUGCAUUGGGCCAUAUCAGUCAGUACCGGCAGAUAGGGAAGGCAGCAAAACCUCUUUAAUCUUGUAGGAAAGAGUAAAAUUUGUGAUUUAUAGGCACUUCCUGUUUAGAGAACUGAGUGCAAUUUCCAUUUGCAAUGGGCAAUGCUGAAGCGCAAGGAGGGUCACUCUGCCAUCUGUGUGUACAGAAAUAUCCUGCCUGGUAACAUGGGGCAGUAACUAACUGUAGGAACUUGCUUCUUUAGUCUUACACACAAAAUUAACCUCUGGCUAAUUACAGUUCUGGCAACAAAAUUUUUGUUAAGUAUCUUUUACUUUCUUUCUGUGAUUUAGAAGUCUUUUAGGGUUUUUAUGAGAAGGUUUGUUACACUGUUUAUAUCAUCACACAAAGGACGAUGAAGAAGAGGCAUGGGACCAGGAGACACUACUUGGCUGCUGAACAGUGACCAAUAUUUCCACAGAUGAUAAUUAAGUGAUCGUAAAGCCAAAUAUUAUCAAGAAAUGAAGGAGAUGAUGUCUGAUUGAAGAAUGAGAUUGAGAGUCACAGCCUCUGCAGGCUGAGGAUUUGCUUUCAUUUUUUUUUAUGGCUUAAACUCAGCAAGUGCUUGUGUGUACUAGAGCAACGAGCCCUCUGUGCAGGUGUGAGAGGGACCUCUCAUCUCUGCUGAGAUGCUCAUGGUUGAAUAACUGAGCUACAGGCAGCCCUUCUUCUUGCAUGAGCCACUGAGCUGCAAAAUCGGAGAGUGUCUGCACAAACACGAACAUGAUUGCAUCUGACUCUUGUACCCAGCGUGGAGAAGUUGCAUAUUGCCAUUCUGUGGGCUAAAUGAUAUCUAAGCCCAAGACAUAACAAUGAGGCAAUUCCAGUGUUUGCAUAUGAAUUUUUAUGGCACUAGCACAUUAUUGCAACAGUUUAGUACUGUGGCUAGCAAAAAUGUACAACAAAUUUUGUGGGGAUUGAUUUUAAAUUGACAGAAAACAUGGUUUCCCAAAAUAUCUAAUGUUUUUCACUCUAUAAUAAAAAUUUAAAAUGAACUCUUUCUAUUUGCAGAAUCACAAAAUAAGCUGAGUUGGGAGGGACCCGUUCCAUCCACAAGGAUGGAGUCCAGCUCCUGACCCUGCACAUCACCGCCUCCAGUAAUCACACCAUGUACCCAAGAACAUUGUCCAAACGCUUCUUGAACUCUGUCAGGUUUGGGACUGUGUCCACUUCCCUGGGGAGCCUGUCCCGGUGCCCAACCACCCUUUGGGUGAAGAAUCUUUCCCUGAUAUCCAACCUAAACCUCUCCUGACACAACUUCAAGCCUUGGGUCUUUAAAGAUUCCUUUUUAAAACUAAUGUUAUUGUUAUUAUCCUUGCCUCAAUAUUUUGGCAGUUAAUGCAAAAGUGAGAAUUUUUGCUCAUUUGUCUGUUUAAAAUGCUUUCCUAGUUCUGAGAAAUAAUUAUAAUACGAGUUAAUAAUAUGCUUUUCUAGAGUUAGGAAAACCCUCAAAUUGUCAAAUCUGAAUGAACUGUCUCCAUGGAAAUUUAAAGAUAAAGCAAAAUAUGUAGGACCAAUCUGAAAAAAAAAAAACAAUUUUUAAUAAAGAUAAAGUAAGUUUAUGCAGAAUAAGAGGUAAGAUUUCCAAUACCUCUACUGUUCCUCCUCUCACUUUUUUUUUCCCCCUCCUUCCUUACUUUGGGACUAUCAUUUGCCAGAAGUGAUUACCAAAGACAAAAAAAAAAAAAAAAAGGUUUUCUCCUGUAUUUCAAGUUCUUGUUAGCACAGAGGUCUGGAAUGUUAAUUACAGAACUCAAUUAUCUCAAGUUAAAAUUCUAUUAACCAUGCAGGAAAGAAAUGGAGUUGUCAAGGUAAAAUGAGCUAAGCGAAGUGAAGAGUGGAUGGGCUACGGUCAUAGGAUGGAUACAGUGAGUAAUGGAUUUUCUGUUAACAGAUUUCCUGAGAGAUAGCUACUUCGUUUCCAUCUGCCUGGGGAUUUCAAGUCCUACCUUUCCUAGUCUCUAUAGAAAAAUCAAU